UAUCACAACACCUAUUAGCUUUGAUGUGUGGUGGACAGUGGACUUGUAAUGAUGUUUCAGUUUCCGGCAGAAUCGAUGGCUUCACGGCGAAGGAUGAUAGAUGGAAAACUUUCGUCUCCUCAGGUUACAUGUGUAUUCGAUGCUAACACGUGUCUGAGAUAUAUUAGCUUGAUCCAAUCUUCUUCUCUAAAUGUAAUGUUGGGCCAGUUGGACUUAAAAUAGUCUCUGUAAACCGUUUUAUGUUGUUGGGCUUUUGCUCGUUCGUUGUAUGUUAUGUUCAUCUUAAUAAAAUCGUCACUUGUGA
This 304-nucleotide small RNA is filed under the name Arabidopsis thaliana (thale cress). RNAcentral describes it as "[] (AT1G69252)". The record is from RNAcentral. Lineage: Eukaryota; Viridiplantae; Streptophyta; Magnoliopsida; Brassicales; Brassicaceae.